This 253-nucleotide ribosomal RNA is filed under the name uncultured bacterium. RNAcentral's name for it is "partial 16S ribosomal RNA". It matches the Rfam family "Bacterial small subunit ribosomal RNA", at positions 524 to 776 of the family's 1533-position model. The record is from RNAcentral.
UACGGGGGGGGCUAGCGUUGUUCGGAAUUACUGGGCGUAAAGCGUGCGUAGGCGGUUGUGCAAGACCGGUGUGAAAUCCCCGGGCUUAACCUGGGAAUGGCAUUGGUGACUGUACGGCUAGAGUGUGUCAGAGGGGGGUAGAAUUCCACGUGUAGCAGUGAAAUGCGUAGAGAUGUGGAGGAAUACCGAUGGCGAAGGCAGCCCCCUGGGAUAACACUGACGCUCAUGCACGAAAGCGUGGGGAGCAAACAGG